RNAcentral lists this ribosomal RNA (799 nucleotides) under Glomeromycotina sp. Its description in RNAcentral is "SSU rRNA". It matches the Rfam family "Eukaryotic small subunit ribosomal RNA", at positions 85 to 902 of the family's 1831-position model. The record is from RNAcentral. Lineage: Eukaryota; Fungi; Glomeromycota.
AACUGCGAAUGGCUCAUUAAAUCAGUUAUAGUUUAUUUGAUGGUUUUUGCUACAUGGAUAACUGUGGUAAUUCUAGAGCUAAUACAUGCGUACAAGCCCCGACUUCUGGAAGGGGUGUAUUUAUUAGAUAAAAAUCAACACUGUUGGUGAAUCAUGAUAACUUCUCGGAUCGCAUGGCCUCGUGCUGGCGAUACUUCAUUCAAAUAUCUGCCCUAUCAACUGUCGAUGGUAGGAUAGAGGCCUACCAUGGUUGCAACGGGUAACGGGGAAUAAGGGUUCGAUUCCGGAGAGGGAGCCUGAGAAACGGCUACCACAUCCAAGGAAGGCAGCAGGCGCGCAAAUUACCCAAUCCCAAUACGGGGAGGUAGUGACAAUAAAUACUGAUACGGGGCUCUUUCGGGUCUCGUAAUUGGAAUGAGUACAAUCUAAAUCCCUUAACGAGGAACAAUUGGAGGGCAAGUCUGGUGCCAGCAGCCGCGGUAAUUCCAGCUCCAAUAGCGUAUAUUAAAGUUGUUGCAGUUAAAAAGCUCGUAGUUGAAUUUCGGGAUUUGCACAUCGGUCGUGCCUUAAGGGGUAUGAACUGGUGUAGUGAAUUUCUCACCUUCUGGAGAACCGUGAUGUCCUUUAUUGGGUGCCACGAGGAACCAGGACCUUUACUUUGAAAAAAUUAGAGUGUUUAAAGCAGGCAUUUUGCUUGAAUACAUUAGCAUGGAAUAAUAAAAUAGGACGGCAUGAUUCUAUUUGUUGGUUUCUAGAAUCACCGUAUGAUAAUAGGGAUAGUUGGGGCAUAGUAUCAUUG